CGCAUCAUUAUCAAGAAGGUAAAAUAACCGCAAGGCUUAAGAGGAGGGGUGAGAAAAAGUCGUAUAAAAGGCGAGAGAAAAGUCGAUACAGGGAACAGUCGUGUGAGCAUGUCCGACACGGCAACAACUGCAGUGUACUUUUGCCAUCAGCUCUCAGCUAUAUCUGCCAUCAUCAGUUCUUAAUCAUGGUUGUAUUUAAGGAGAAAGAAAAGGCGAAAUAUGCAAGAGUUGCAGUGCGCCAUUCAUCACCAACUGCAUUCUUCGUCGCUUUACCAGUUUCAAUCAUGGUCGUUUAAAGGGAGAGAAAAGGCGGUAGAAUUCAUUCGUAUCUCCGACAUGGGAGCAGCAAAUGCAGUGCACUAUUCUACACCAACUGCAUUCUUCGUCGAAUUGCUAGUUUUAAAUCAUGGGUAAACAUUUUUACCUGGAGUUGUGAAUCAACUUUCGUAUUAUAUUUUAAACUUUGGCGUCGCCUGCUGCUGUUGGGUGUUGUAUAGUUGACGGCUGGUUCAGCCAUGGUGUACCAAUGUCUCCUGGGUAUGGCGGAUAACAAAUCGCAACGCCGCCACCUUACUACACAACAUACGACACGACCAGUUGCUACACCAAGGCCCCCAAGUACUACACCACCAAGGCUCCACAUUAUUGUACCACAACUUAUGCUGUCUGAGCUACUACACCGAAGCCCCGAAGUAUUAUUCUUCCCCGAGCUACACUACCAGAGGUUCGAUACUACACCGAUGCUCCGAGGUACUGCACCACCACGGCACCGGUGUACUGCACCACCAAGGCACCGGAGUACUGCACUACUACAUAUCAUGGUCGUAUGAAAGGAGAGAAAAGGUGAAAGAAUUCAGCAGCCGAGUGAGCAUUUCCGUUACAGCAACAGGAUCUGCCGUGCACUAUUUGUCAUCAACUUCAUUCUUCGUGGCGUUAAAGUGUUAAAUAAAGUUAACUAUGGUGGCGUGCUGCUGUUGGUUGUUGUAUCGUUGAUGGCUGGGUCGACCACUGGUGUGCCGAUUUCUCCUGGGUAUGGCGGGCAUGAAUAACAACAUACGCAACAACCGGUCACUACACUGAGGCCCCUAAGUGCUACACCACCAAGGCUUCAGAUUAUUACACCAAAGUUUAUGUUGGUCCGGGCUAUUCGCAGAAGCUCCGAAGUAUUUUUCUUCCCCAAGCUUCGCUACCUUCACCACGCCGCCUCCUUCCUAAAUAAUAACGUCAACACUUUUUUACUAUACGAAGGCCUUCAAGUACUACGCCACGAAGGCUUCUGACUACUAUUCCGAGGAUCUAACUUGUUACAUCAUCGAAGUUCUCAAGUACUGCACUACCCCCUACGUUGCCCCAGUUUACACCACGCAGGCACCGGAGUACUACACCACGCAGGCACCGGAGUACUACACCACGCAGGCACCGGAGUACUACACGUUAAACCGAGGCUUCAGUUUACUACACUACAACCUUCGCUGCUUUAAACAACCACAUUGAUGCUCCAAAGUACUACACCAACAAGGCAUCGGAGCAUACACUACCACUACCACUACUUACGCUACCGCCACCUGCUAAACCGAAGGUCCGAAAGCAGUACUCUGGCCCGAGUUACUACAUCACUUAGGCAGCCGAACACCAUAAACUACGAUUCCGCAAUUAUCUACAAGGAAUUUCCUAAAUAAUAGAGCCGAAAUUUCUACUUCAGAUUAUUUAUAUUUGUCGGUUAUUUCCAUGGCCAAUGGUCACUGGGAAUUAAUCGUUGAUCUUUAAUGAGGAAAUAAAAGUUUUAAUGCGGGUAA
This 1796-nucleotide long non-coding RNA is filed under the name Daphnia pulicaria. RNAcentral describes it as "uncharacterized LOC124350846, transcript variant X2". The record is from RNAcentral. Lineage: Eukaryota; Metazoa; Arthropoda; Branchiopoda; Diplostraca; Daphniidae.